CUGAGCUGUGCCUUGGAGUAGUUCAAAUGCAUCACCUAUUCUAGUGACAUCUGGUAAAGAGCUCCUUUGACAAAUUCAGAAGCCCCUUGCGGCAUCCUCAGCAAGAUUCCUGCCAUCUGUGGCACUGCCUAGCACCUUGCUGCCAUCUCCUGGAGAUGGUUGGUCUUCUUCUGUUCCCUAGACCUUUGGGCCUGCUUCCCUGAACCACCUUUAGCACGUUGUGCCAUAAUGUGAAUGCCAAAGGUAGUAUUAUACUGCAGUGAUAUGAGCCUCAUUGAAAAAAGACAUAGGUGAGUAAUUAACAUAGUGAAUGAAGCGAAUGACCAGAAAAUGAAGUAAAUACCCAUCAGCCAUUGGCAUUCAAAGAAGUGGCAGCCAAUUGAAUGAAACUGACCCAGGAUCACUCAUGAGAAUACGCAUUCAGGAUGUGAAAAUCUUACAGUUUGAAUCUGGUGUCAACAGGCACAGAAAAAUACUGGUACCUCCCUUGGGCACCAAUGCUGCCAUUAUCUUGGAAGACAUAUCAAAACAUCAUCUGUUUUCUUCUUCAUUUUCAGUAAGUAAAUGGCAACAUUCCUAAGGAAGCUGAAAGGAUGGAAGGUCAAAGACUAGCAGCCAAUUAUCAUGAUAAACUUGUGCUCAUAAUUCUCUGCCCCUGGCAGCUGGUGUCUGAACUCAGGAUCAAGUCCUGUGCCUAACACAGAACCUCCUUUAAGCAGGGCAUUGCCGUAGCAACUGGGCAGUCUUUACCUGAACCUUUACAUAGGAAGUUCCCAGCACAGGCACAGUUCCUGCUAGAGGAUAGUCAAAGACAGCAGAGGAAACAGAGAAGAACAAAAAGAGAGAAGAUACACCAUUUAAGUGGCAGGAAUAUAAUGACCUUUCUGAUAGGCAAUGUAAUCAUAGAAAUCAAGAACUUUAAUAAUGCCCAAAUCAUUUGAAUCAAUAAUUUUGCUUCUAGAAUCUAGCCUGAAAAAAAAAGAAAAGAAAAAAAGAACCCACUAGAAUGCCAGCGAUUCCUAAGGCUUUCUAUAUGAUAGUGAUCAAUUAAGACACACUAAAUAUCACCAAUAAGAGAAGGGUUAAAUAAAUGAUGAUAUAGAUAUACAACAGAAUAAUAGUCAUUAUAAGCAUGUUUUAACUCUAUUUAAUAAUAUGGGGAAAUAUUCAAGUUAUGAUCAAAUUAAAAAUAAUAAAGUAAAACUAAAAAUGUG
RNAcentral lists this long non-coding RNA (1214 nucleotides) under Marmota monax (woodchuck). The record is from RNAcentral. Lineage: Eukaryota; Metazoa; Chordata; Mammalia; Rodentia; Sciuridae.